RNAcentral lists this ribosomal RNA (503 nucleotides) under Streptomyces sp. SA9Y. RNAcentral describes it as "bacterial SSU rRNA". It matches the Rfam family "Bacterial small subunit ribosomal RNA", at positions 87 to 603 of the family's 1533-position model. The record is from RNAcentral. Lineage: Bacteria; Bacillati; Actinomycetota; Actinomycetes; Kitasatosporales; Streptomycetaceae.
GUGGAUUAGUGGCGAACGGGUGAGUAACACGUGGGCAAUCUGCCCUGCACUCUGGGACAAGCCCUGGAAACGGGGUCUAAUACCGGAUAUGACACACGACCGCAUGGUCUGUGUGUGGAAAGCUCCGGCGGUGCAGGAUGAGCCCGCGGCCUAUCAGCUUGUUGGUGGGGUAAUGGCCUACCAAGGCGACGACGGGUAGCCGGCCUGAGAGGGCGACCGGCCACACUGGGACUGAGACACGGCCCAGACUCCUACGGGAGGCAGCAGUGGGGAAUAUUGCACAAUGGGCGAAAGCCUGAUGCAGCGACGCCGCGUGAGGGAUGACGGCCUUCGGGUUGUAAACCUCUUUCAGCAGGGAAGAAGCGCAAGUGACGGUACCUGCAGAAGAAGCGCCGGCUAACUACGUGCCAGCAGCCGCGGUAAUACGUAGGGCGCAAGCGUUGUCCGGAAUUAUUGGGCGUAAAGAGCUCGUAGGCGGCUUGUCACGUCGGAUGUGAAAGCCC